AGAGUUUGAUCCUGGCUCAGAUUGAACGCUGGCGGCAUGCCUUACACAUGCAAGUCGAACGGCAGCACGGGAGCUUGCUCCUGGUGGCGAGUGGCGAACGGGUGAGUAACAUAUCGGAACAUGCCCUGAAGUGGGGGAUAACGUAGCGAAAGUUACGCUAAUACCGCAUAUUCUGUGAGCAGGAAAGCAGGGGGAUCGCAAGACCUUGCGCUUUAGGAGUGGCCGAUAUCGGAUUAGCUAGUUGGUGAGGUAAAGGCUCACCAAGGCGACGAUCCGUAGCGGGUCUGAGAGGAUGAUCCGCCACACUGGGACUGAGACACGGCCCAGACUCCUACGGGAGGCAGCAGUGGGGAAUUUUGGACAAUGGGCGCAAGCCUGAUCCAGCCAUGCCGCGUGAGUGAAGAAGGCCUUCGGGUUGUAAAGCUCUUUCGGUGGGGAAGAAAUUGCUUCGGUUAAUACCUGGAGUAGAUGACGGUACCCGCAUAAGAAGCACCGGCUAACUACGUGCCAGCAGCCGCGGUAAUACGUAGGGUGCGAGCGUUAAUCGGAAUUACUGGGCGUAAAGCGUGCGCAGGCGGUUGUAUAAGUCAGAUGUGAAAUCCCCGGGCUCAACCUGGGAACUGCAUUUGAGACUGUACGGUAGAGUUUGGCAGAGGGGGGUGGAAUUCCACGUGUAAGCAGUGAAAUGCGUA
Molecule: ribosomal RNA, 692 nt
Filed under: uncultured beta proteobacterium
Lineage: Bacteria; Pseudomonadati; Pseudomonadota; Betaproteobacteria
Description: bacterial SSU rRNA
Rfam family: Bacterial small subunit ribosomal RNA
Source: RNAcentral